RNAcentral lists this ribosomal RNA (550 nucleotides) under uncultured bacterium. RNAcentral describes it as "bacterial SSU rRNA". It matches the Rfam family "Bacterial small subunit ribosomal RNA", at positions 355 to 896 of the family's 1533-position model. The record is from RNAcentral.
UAGGGAAUCUUCGGCAAUGGACGGAAGUCUGACCGAGCAACGCCGCGUGAGUGAAGAAGGUUUUCGGAUCGUAAAGCUCUGUUGUAAGAGAAGAACGAGUGUGAGAGUGGAAAGUUCACACUGUGACGGUAUCUUACCAGAAAGGGACGGCUAACUACGUGCCAGCAGCCGCGGUAAUACGUAGGUCCCGAGCGUUGUCCGGAUUUAUUGGGCGUAAAGCGAGCGCAGGCGGUUAGAUAAGUCUGAAGUUAAAGGCUGUGGCUUAACCAUAGUAGGCUUUGGAAACUGUUUAACUUGAGUGCAAGAGGGGAGAGUGGAAUUCCAUGCGUAGCGGUGAAAUGCGUAGAUAUAUGGAGGAACACCGGUGGCGAAAGCGGCUCUCUGGCUUGUAACUGACGCUGAGGCUCGAAAGCGUGGGGAGCAAACAGGAUUAGAUACCCUGGUAGUCCACGCUGUAAACGAUGAGUGCUAGGUGUUAGACCCUUUCCGGGGUUUAGUGCCGUAGCUAACGCAUUAAGCACUCCGCCUGGGGAGUACGACCGCAAGGUUG